Centruroides sculpturatus (bark scorpion) is the source of this 1016-nucleotide long non-coding RNA. RefSeq lists it as uncharacterized. The transcript is spliced from 3 exons. The record is from RefSeq and is a predicted model, not a curated record. NCBI's taxonomy places the organism in Eukaryota, Metazoa, Arthropoda, Arachnida, Scorpiones, Buthidae.
AAUACUUUUUUGGAUAUUAGUAUAAAAUUUGUGUAUUGAUAUAUGUAAUUUUUAUUUUUAUCAUAUUAACAUUUUAAUUUUUAUUCAUAGGGAAAAAUGGGACUGAGCCCAGUUCAGAGUCUUCGGAGUUUUGCGAGUAAUCAACCUCCCCUUUUAGUGUUUACGGUAUGUUUGAUGGCUUUUGGAAUUACUACGGUAGUUCUUGCUUACGUAAUAGGUGAAAAUGAUUUUCCAAAUCCAGAUAUUACAAUGAUCCAGUCAUAAGAUAGUUCCCACAAUCCCACAUGCUUGAGAAAAAACAAGAUGGCUGCAGAACAAGUGUCAGGCUAUCAACAGAGAAAUAAAAAAGAUAUUUGGAGAGAUGAUGAGAUCUGGCUAUUCUUGGAUAUAUAGCAAAAAAAAGCUGGGUUCUUCUCAAGCAGACUGCCUGUGCGAACAGCUCAAUGUACAAGUAGUGACAGUUACAAUUAAGAUUGUGAGUAAAUCAAGAUCAAAGUGAGUCGUGGAUUGUGUGCAAACCAGGGCUGUGGUAUCAGUAGAUUUUUAUAUGACUUCGACUCUGACCAGGGGCAGAAUUGUUAACAAAAUAGGCCCGAAAAUUCUGACAUCAUUACAUGACCUCAGAAUAUAAGCUUCAAUAAAUAUAGUUCUAAUAAAGAUAGAACAUAGAAACAUUUUUAUUCCAAAGCUAAAAGUAAGUAAUGACAUAGUCAAUAUAUAAAUAUGUAUUCAUUAAUUUUUACUUUUCCAGCUGUUAUAUAUGAGGGCGGUUUUUUCCCAACCUCCAAUAGUCCAUAAAACAAAGACAAGUGGGAAUAACAAAAUGAAUUUAUUAUCAAAAGUUAGGUACAAACAUGGUUACUAUUCAACAUAAUCACUGUGAAGAUUAAUCCUUUGCUUCUGCCAUCUUGUUUACGUUUAUCUUGUGUUCCCUCCUAAGGCAAUAUAGGUCAGUCAGGCGAUAUUAUUUUAAAAAUUCACCAAAAAUCAAAUUACAGUAGAGCCUCAAACUCAGC